Non-coding RNA from Pteropus alecto (black flying fox), 73 nucleotides. Lineage: Eukaryota; Metazoa; Chordata; Mammalia; Chiroptera; Pteropodidae. The record is from Rfam.
GGUUCCAUAGAGUAGUGUUUAGCAUGUCUGCUUUACACGCAGAAGGUCUUGGGUUCAAGCCCCAGUGGAACUA